GACGAACGCUGGCGGCGUGCUUAACACAUGCAAGUCGAACGGAAGGGCCCUGCUUUUGUGGGGUGCUCGAGUGGCGAACGGGUGAGUAACACGUGAGUAACCUGCCCUUGACUUUGGGAUAACAUCUGGAAACUGGGGCUAAUACCGGAUAGAAGCUCCUGCUGCAUGGUGGGGGAUGGAAAGUUUCGGCGGUUGGGGAUGGACUCGCGGCUUAUCCGCUUGAUGGUGGGGUAGUGACUUACCAAGGUUUCGACGGGUAGCCGGCCUGGGAGGGUGACCAGCGACAUUGGGACUGAGAGACGGCCCAGACUGGUACGUGAGGCAGCAGGCGAGAAUAUUGCAGAGUGAGCCGAAGUCAGAGGCAACAAUGUCGCGUUCGUGAUGACCGCCUACUAGUUGUAAACCGCUGUCGCCUUUGACGAACCGAGAGUGACGGUAACGGGUAAAGAAGCACCGGCUAACUACGUG
RNAcentral lists this ribosomal RNA (468 nucleotides) under uncultured bacterium. RNAcentral's name for it is "partial 16S ribosomal RNA". It matches the Rfam family "Bacterial small subunit ribosomal RNA", at positions 28 to 507 of the family's 1533-position model. The record is from RNAcentral.